This 65-nucleotide transfer RNA is filed under the name Ornithorhynchus anatinus (platypus). RNAcentral's name for it is "tRNA (ENSOANG00000019380.1)". Lineage: Eukaryota; Metazoa; Chordata; Mammalia; Monotremata; Ornithorhynchidae. The record is from RNAcentral.
GGCCCUGAAGUGUAAUCACGUUGAAUUGCAAAUUCGAAAAAGCAUCUGCAGAAGUGCCGGGGCUU